UUUCCGUAGGUGAACCUGCGGAAGGAUCAUUACAGAGUAAGGGUCUUCGGGCCCGAUCUCCAACCCUUUGUUUACCUACCAUGUUGCUUUGGCGGGCCCGUCCCUCGACCGCCGUAAGUUUGGCUUCGACCAAACUUCUGGCCCGUGCCCGUCAGUGGCCCCUUCAAAUUCUUGAUCAAGUAUGUUUUCUUAGUUAAAAACUUAAUAGUUAAAACUUUCAACAACGGAUCUCUUGGUUCUG
RNAcentral lists this unclassified non-coding RNA (241 nucleotides) under plant metagenome. RNAcentral's name for it is "partial contains small subunit ribosomal RNA, internal transcribed spacer 1, and 5.8S ribosomal RNA". The record is from RNAcentral.